Oncorhynchus tshawytscha (Chinook salmon) is the source of this 1168-nucleotide long non-coding RNA. The record is from Ensembl. NCBI's taxonomy places the organism in Eukaryota, Metazoa, Chordata, Actinopteri, Salmoniformes, Salmonidae.
GUAAUCUUCAGUUGCGGGCAUUUUCUCCUGGGGUUCAGAGGGGAAAGCACAUUUCCACGAACAAUGUAUCAUCGAAGAGAUAUGUGAAAAACACCUUGAGGAUUGGUUCUAAACAACGUUUGCCAUGUUUCAGUCGAUAUUAUGGAGUUAAUUUGGAAAAAAGUUCGACGUUUAGAUGACUGAAUUUUCUGUUUUUUUUGGUAGCCAAACGUGACGCACCAAACGGAGCGAUUUCUCCUAAACAAAUAUUAUUUUUGGAAAAACUGAACAUUUGCUAUCUAACAGAGUCUCCUCAUUGAAAACAUCUGAAGUUCUUCAAAGGUACAAGGCCAUCCUUGAUGGGCAUCAGAAGACGGGGCAGGGGAGAAGGAAGUGGGACUCCAUCAUGGAGGAGGUCCUCUCUGGUGAUCAUCACUACACACCGACAACGUACAGCACACAACACUAAUUACACUGUCACUCAACCCCGCACUGCACAGACACCCCACACAUCAUGCUACAGUAACACCGACACCCUCUCACCCUCUCCCUCUACUUCAACACAUUAUAACCCUCAUGCCAACACCACUCCCUGCACUCAACCCAAAAGGAAGACCAAAAGAGAUGCUCUUGCGGUAAAACUGGACAAUAUACUUGCACUUCCGAAAACAAACACUUCAAGCACAGGGUAAGAUGAACGAUAUUCUGAGAUUGGGUAUGUAAUUUUAGGCGAAAAUUGAAAACAAGUGUCCGAUCCUGAAUUUCAGAGAACAAUAGCCUGAAUCUAUUUAUGUAUUUAUUGUUUAAUUGUACACUAAUAAAAAAAUUAUCCUGAGAUUUUCCUUGAUUCUAUUUUUAACCAAAAUCUGCCCAUUGUUCCAAGGCCGUCAUUGAAAAUAAGAAUUAACUGACUUGCCUAGUUAAGUAAAGGUCAAAUAAAAAUAUAUAAAAUAAAAAAAACUGAAUACUGUUAUAACUAACUGCCAUGGCUAUUGUGAUUGGUUAAUUGUACACUAACAAGUAAUUAUCCUGAGAUUUUAAUUGAUUGUAUGUUUAACUGAAAUCGUUAAUAACUAAUUGUUUUGGAACAUGCUUUAUUCAAAUGGAAAGGUACAUAACUUGUUAAAUACUUUUUUUGAUUAAACGUGGUUAUGUUCUACAUUCAUUUUGGCAGGUGGGUGUAUGUGUU